AACGAACGCUGGCGGCAGGCUUAACACAUGCAAGUCGAGCGCCCCGCUAGGGGAGCGGCUGACGGGUGAGUAGCGCGUGGGAAUCUACUGACCCCUAAGGAACAGCCCCCGGAAACUGGAAUGAAUACCGUAUAUGGCCUUAAGGGGAAAGAUUUAUCGGAGUUUGAUGAGGCCGGGUGGGUUUAGCUGGUUGGUGCGGUUAAGGCUUACCAAGGCGACGAUCCAUAGCGGGUCUGAGGGGAUGAUCAGCCACAUUGGGACUGAGACCCGGCCCAAACGCCUACGGGAGGCAGCAGUGGAUAAUAUUGGACAGUUGGCGCAAGCGUGAUCCAGCGAUGCUGCGUGAGUAAUGAAGGGCCUAGGGUUGUAAAGCUCUUUCACCGGUGAAGAUAAUGACGGUAACCGGAGAAGAAGCCCCGGCUAACUUCGUGCCAGCCGCCGCGGUAA
Molecule: ribosomal RNA, 447 nt
Filed under: uncultured bacterium
Lineage: Bacteria
Description: partial 16S ribosomal RNA
Rfam family: Bacterial small subunit ribosomal RNA
Source: RNAcentral